GGGGCCGAGGCUGCGGCGUGCUGGCAGCGGGUGGACUCGCUCAACCUGGGAGUCCUUUCACCUUCCCUGUUUUAUAAAUGGCAAACCUUUCCUAAACAAGCUGUCCAUCCAACCGCCAAAACCACAGGACAAGAAUUUCUACUCAAGGGGGAAACAGCAAGAAAGAAAAAAAGGUCACCAUUCCUAGAGCAGAGUUGCUUCUGGGAAGCAAUUGCCUGGCCAGAGACUACAUUUCCCAGCCUCCCUUGCACGGAUGUGGGACUAUGGACUAGCUCUUAUCAGUGAAACAAGAGCAGAGCUGAAGAGUGAGUUUAGAUGCCACUGAUACAAUCCCAACAUCACAAAAUGGAAGGAGUUUGGGUUCCAGAGUAACCAGCCUCGCAGGAGAGCUGCCAGACUUGCCUUGGACAGUGACACGAGGGAGAAACAAACGUAUAUGUGAGAUCGCUGAGGUCAUGUUACCGCGACUGAAGUAAGAUAAGGUGGUGUCCGGAGUAUGGGGUCUGGAGCUUGACUACCUGGAUUCAAAUCCCUGCUCAGUCAUCUCUUGGCUGUGUGACUUAAGAUGAGAAGAUACAUCGCUUCUGCUUCUAAGAGUCGGUGAUCCUCAUCCUUCUCUCUGCACCUGCCCUUGCCGUGUCCUUGGUCAGCACAGAGGAAGGACAACAGCACAUCUCCCUCACAUCGGAAGUGGCUCCACAAGUUGGCCUUCACUGCCAUCAACCCUAACAGAUGUGGUGCUCUAUCUCCACAGUCCUCCAGAGAGCCCUCAAGUCCCUCAGGGUGUCUUUACUCCAAGAAGGGGUUCUAGACUAGACAAGCAGAGGUGUUGCAGAAAGGAAGAUACUGCAAAGGAUUCAGGCAGCAAAGGGUGUGCUCCCCACACUGGGGAAGACAUCUGGGCAGAAGGGCCUGGGCUGGACCUCACAUCCAUCCCUCUUCCCUUGGGGUCCUUGACCACCCUUGAGAAUGGCACCUACAUGCUCUAAUUCUCCAUAAAAUCCAGAGGCAAAAUGUCCCUGCUGUAAAGACCUUGAACCCUUUUUGGGAAGGUUUUAUGAACUUAAUAUCGUGGGUUGCUCUAACCCCAGCCUUUGUCCUGACAGCAUCUGCUCAGGGAGUUUGAGAUUCAGCCAGUCUGUAAAGAGCUUCAGAUCCAGGGCUUUGAGGUGGGGAGAAGUGGUCACCUUGGAGAAAGCAGGACACUGUGGCCAGCUGGGGCAUUCUUUGCUAUAGAUUCCAAGAGACAAACUUGCUGAUCCCAGGUCAAUUCUGCCCCUGCUUCCCUGCAUCUAGAACCAUCUCUGACUCCACCUCCCAUUAACACCCCAGAACAGAUUCCCUACCCACCUCCUCAAGAAGAACAUUGCCUCCGGGGAUUUUCUAAGAGUUUUUAGGAUAAGCAGCAGUUAGAAGCUAACAAUAAGUAAAAUUUCCAGAAAUCAAGAGAAACUUGCAAUGUUCCUUGACACUUUAAAUGAUGCACUUGAAACAAGAGGCUUGCAUUAGGAUCUAAAUUAGAGUUCUUGAGUGGCUUUUUGUAUUUUUUCUUUCACGUUAACCUGACUACAACUUUAUCUCCUCCAUUCACUUCCAAGAAGUCCUUAUAUAAUAAAGAGUUGAAGGCUGAAGCCCUUGCUUCCUCAAUAGGGGGCAGGCUCACCAGCUCCAUCUUGUCAGUUACCUCUUAAUGGUUGGUAGGAUGAGGGAAGCUUUCUCAAAAGACAGUUAAAAUAGUGCUUUAAGAAAUCCUCCGCCAAUAAAAAGUUGCUUCCAGAGUUAUAAAGUCAGUUUUCUUAACCUCUCAAUCUCAACUCAACUCAAAUUACAAAGUUUACAUGCCUUUGGGGAUGGCUGUAUUAAGUAAAUAGAGAGGAAUGGUCACAUUCAGUGUAAGCUAAAACACCCAAGGCUGGCAGUAGGAAAAGGAGCUACCUACCUAUCAGGUCUUUCAUAAAGCCAGUCCCUUAAGUAGAAAGAAUAAAGUUCUCUCAAGACUUACCCUAUGGACUGCCUUUCACAGCUGGUUCAUAUUUAUAAGCCAAUUUGUCUGGAAGUAAAUCUCUUUAACACACCCAACUGACUCCAAGAGGUGUGUCCCAUGGGAACCAAUCUUAAAUAACCGUCUCAAGAAAAGUUUUAGCAGCAAUAUUGUCAGUCCUGGAAUUUCCACCUUUGGGGGGGAAAAAAUCAACAAUAGAAUGCUUGGAAAUACAGAAUACACAGAGUUUAGCAAACUGCCAAAUUAAAUUCAGACACACACACACAAAUUUGCUAAUACCUGGUUAAAGAGUUGGCAUGGGAAGAAACAGACUUCUCAUUCAAGCCUGAAGCUCGGUAAUGGGUCAUUUGACCUGAAAUAACUUGGGCGGAAGUUGGCCUUAUUGUCUUCCACAAUCUCUUCCCACGCAGUCAAAAAAGGGGAUGCAAUCUUAAGAUUUUUUCUUCCUCAUUCUCUCCCGCCCUUUCUCCUCUCCCUCCCUCCCUUUUAUUUUCUCUCUCUCCUUCCUUCCUUCUUUUCUUUCUCUUUCAAUCUUUGGGCAUCAAAAAGGGUAUCCCAGAAAACUUCAAAUGAAGUUUUAGAAGAAGACUGUGUGUUGGUUUCAGUUGUUUUUAGGGUAGGGGCUUGAACAACCUCAUCUCAAAAAUGGAGAUUUUUUUUUAUUACCUCUUUUGGUUGAGAUAUAAUUAAUAUAUAAUAAAGCUAUCUAAUUUACUGAAUUGGUCUGAUUCACAAGUUAAAUAAGGUUAAAUCAAAGAAAACAUGUAUAAGUCCCUCUAGACAGUGUCCAGGGUUGACUGGAUUAUAAACAGACAUAACCACUGAGGUCACUUUUUAAUUUAAAAACCCUCAAUGGCUCCUGACUUCCUACAGAACAGUCUAAAAAUCUAAGGCUCAAAAAUGUCAGGCUCUCCUUUCUAGUGCUACCUGCUGCCCCCAUCUCUUAUACAUACCAUUUGUCAGAUGCAACCAGAUAAUAGAAAUUUCCAGUCUCUCAGCUUCCUCCUGCUGCCCCAGGUCUGCUUAUCAAGGCCCUGCCCAUCCUUCAAAGUCAGAAGUCAUCUCCUCCAUGGAGUCCUCCAGCAUGUGAACGUUCCCAAGGAUGGAAUAAACACCAUUUCUUAUGACAUGCCACUCGGUGGCCUCAGCAGGACCUGGAUUGGAUUUCUGUAUCAGCUCCUUACCUGCUGGAUGCCCUGGGAUGAGAGACUUGAUUACCUCUUGCCUUCAUUUUCCUCAUCUGUAAAACAAGGAUGGUGUUAUUUUUAUUUCCUGGAUCAGAAGGAGGAGGACAUUAAUAUAUGAAUUAGAUUAAUAUAUGCAAAGAAAAUAAGGCCAGCCCCUGCCCCCAGAAAAAGAGUCCAUACUGUUGCUAAGUUACAAUUAGACCUUAUGUCAGGACCCUAGAUGAUUAAGCAUUUUCUCCAUGGCAUGUGCUUGGAAAAGGAUGCUUUAUGCAAGAAUGUCACGGAUGGAUAAAAGUUACCAAGACUUGCUAUAUAGCACAAGGAACUCUACCCAAUAUUCUGUGAGAACCUAUAUGGGAAAAGAAUAUGAAAAAGAAUGGAUAUGUUGGAGUCCCUGUUGUGGCUCAGCAGUAACGAACCUGACUAGGAUCCACGAGGAUGCAGGUUCAAUCCCUGGCCUCACUCAGUGGGUUAAGGAUCCGGCAUAGCUCUGAGCUGUGGUGUAGGUCGCAGAUGUGGCUCGGAUCUUGAGUGGCCCUAAAAAACAACAACAACAACAAAAAAAAAUGGAUAUGUGUAUGUGUAUAACUGAAUCACUUUGUUGUACAGCAGAAAUUAAUACAACAUUGUAAAUCAACGACACUUCAAUAAAACCUUUUAAAAAAUGGAAAAAA
RNAcentral lists this long non-coding RNA (3863 nucleotides) under Sus scrofa (pig). RNAcentral's name for it is "lncRNA (ENSSSCG00035067503.1)". Lineage: Eukaryota; Metazoa; Chordata; Mammalia; Artiodactyla; Suidae. The record is from RNAcentral.